CAGCUGGAAUGCGACCUACAACACGGCACGUAAGAACGGCCUAGAUGCGUGUGUGCCUGCAACGCACGGUCAAGAUGCAAACUUUCCACAGGCAUCGAUGGGGACAGGAGAAAACAAACUCAAUCUGGCCCAGGAUCUGCAUAGAGACAGCGAGGACUCAACAGAGACAGGUUACACCUCCCCAGGCCUAGGGUGGGCUGGACUUUUCCUGCCUACGAGGAAUUGCCUGGUCAGGAAGAGAUUAAUGUCAUUGUCUUCUACCUGCAAUGCUUUGAGUGGCUCUCGAUGACUGGCUGGCUUGGCUGUAUAACUCCAAGGCAAGGAUGAAAGUCUGGGGGAUCCAGGGAGGGAAGGAGCUACCUUACUGCCCACAUGGACGCUAGAGGCCCCUGGCUGUCUUGCAGAAGGAAAUUCUGCCAUCCCGCUGGCCUGACCCUAUCCCAGAGGCUCCGCCAACCGAUUCCAUCCACGUCCGGGGGUCAGGCAGCCCUGGAAGGCGACUCACUUAGCGACGGAGAUUCAUGCUGCGCAUCUCACGCCACCACAACUGGGCUUCUCCGGGGGCGAAGUGGCUUGAUCAGAAGAUGUGAUGUUGGAUGAGCACAAAAGCCACAAGAACGGCCCGGUAUUUGUGAGAGGUUCCAUUUGAAGAUUUGUUUCCUUUCCGAAAUAAAAACAGUGA
RNAcentral lists this long non-coding RNA (682 nucleotides) under Chrysemys picta bellii (western painted turtle). RNAcentral's name for it is "lncRNA (ENSCPBG00000012473.1)". Lineage: Eukaryota; Metazoa; Chordata; Testudines; Emydidae. The record is from RNAcentral.